RNAcentral lists this ribosomal RNA (468 nucleotides) under uncultured bacterium. Its description in RNAcentral is "partial 16S ribosomal RNA". It matches the Rfam family "Bacterial small subunit ribosomal RNA", at positions 28 to 507 of the family's 1533-position model. The record is from RNAcentral.
GACGAACGCUGGCGGCGUGCUUAACACAUGCAAGUCGAACGGAAAGGCCCCGCUUUUGUGGGGUGCUCGAGUGGCGAACGGGUGAGCAACACGUGAGUAACCUGCCCUUGACUUUGGGAUAACUUCAGGAAACUGGGGCUAAUACCGGAUAGGAGCUCCUGCUGCAUGGUGGGGGUUGGAAAGUUUCGGCGGUUGGGGAUAGACUCGCGGCUUAUCAGCUUGUUGGUGGGGUAGUGGCUUACCAAGGCUUUGACGGGUAGCCGGCCUGAGAGGGUGACCGGCCACAUUGGGACUGAGAUACGGCCCAGACUCCUACGGGAGGCAGCAGUGGGGAAUAUUGCACAAUGGGCGGAAGCCUGAUGCAGCAACGCCGCGUGCGGGAUGACGGCCUUCGGGUUGUAAACCGCUUUCGCCUGUGACGAAGCGUGAGUGACGGUAAUGGGUAAAGAAGCACCGGCUAACUACGUG